GGUCAGGUUGCAUACCAGAUUGAUAGAACAUAGAAGCAGUAGAUUUCAAAAAUAAAAAUCAAUCCGACAUCUGAUGCAUAGAUCUAAAUCAAAAAAUCAGCACAAAAGUCAGCAUGCAAAAGGAAUUGCGAUAAUCUCAUUAUCCCCUUGUGUAGGUAGAUGAACACCACAAUCCGAUAAUCAUGAAUCUGAGGUUUACUUGUUGAGCCACACAUGUACCCGACCUCUACAAGUAUCUAUUGGGAUCACCCUU
RNAcentral lists this long non-coding RNA (253 nucleotides) under Elaeis guineensis (African oil palm). Its description in RNAcentral is "long non-coding RNA (EGUI_LNC051801)". Lineage: Eukaryota; Viridiplantae; Streptophyta; Magnoliopsida; Arecales; Arecaceae. The record is from RNAcentral.